This 4049-nucleotide long non-coding RNA is filed under the name Gossypium barbadense (sea-island cotton). RNAcentral describes it as "long non-coding RNA (GBAR_LNC003599)". The record is from RNAcentral. Lineage: Eukaryota; Viridiplantae; Streptophyta; Magnoliopsida; Malvales; Malvaceae.
UUCAUGUAUCAAAAUAUCAUGUACUUUCCUUACCAUUUCAUUUAACCAUCUAAAUUUUAUAAUUCAUCCUUCACUACCCAAAGUAAUAUACAUAUUCAAGUGACUAAAUAACACCCAUGUACAUGCCACCUUUACCCAAAAGAAAAAUAUAUAUCACCAAGUUUGUGUUGGAGUCGGAAUUAUUCUGGAUGCUGAGCCGGGACACUUGACUUCUACUAACCUGCGCACGGAAACAACCGUACGCUGAGUAUGGAUAUACUCAGUGGUAUUACUAUAACUCAAGACUAUUUAACAUUAAUAAAUUACAAACAUCAACCAUAAAUUCUAUAAUUAUUUAAACUACGUUUAUAUAUAAUUAUUUUACUUCAUAAAUCUUAAAUUCAUAAUUCAUUUUUCUCAUACUAACUCAAUUCAUAAUUUAGUUCAUACAUUCUUUCUCGUACUUUUCAAUAGUACUAAAACAAAUAAUCUCAUUUUCAAAAUUUCAUUUCAAUUAUUUACCCUAUUAACAAAGCUCGGACUAUGACAGAUACACGGAUUUCCACCCAAACACACCAGAAUAUCCAACCCAAACACACCCGGAAUAUUGUAAAUCCUCCAUAACACACCGGUAUAAUAUAUCCUCCCAAACACACCAAUAAUGCAUUAAAUGCCUAUUCGGAUAAACCGAAGUAUAUAAUAACAGAAACAUCUUCUCGGCCGAACUACAAUCUCUUCAUCACAUCACAAAUCCAAUGGCAUGCCAUUUGUAUCGAAUCUAGUCCGACAAGUUAAUAGGGUAUUAUUUUACUUUUUCUAAUUUCAAUUUAAUUUACACAAAAAUUUUCAAUACUCAUUCAAUUUAAAUAUCUAUUAUCUUAAUUCAUAUACAAAUUAAUUUUCACACAAGUGUAUACCGUCAACACCCUACAAUUGUCACCAUUUAUUUAUUUUUCAAUCAAUACACUUUUCAAAUAAUCACAUACUUACCUCAAGCCUUACUUACCAUACAUAAUUAAAAUUUCAGCAAUCAAUAAUAAUUAAAAUUUGAAUUAUAGUAAUACACACCGUAAUUCUCCCGUUUUAGUCCUCGAUGACUUUCUCCUUUCCUUUCGAUAUUGAUGCUUCAAGUUCUUUGUUGGCUACGAAAAUAAUAGUAAUUUACAUUAUUAUUUACAGCACUAAUUAUAAUAAAUAAUUAAAUUUCUAAACAACUCCUACCUUAUUCCCAAUUUAAUCCUAACUAAACUUAAUUAUUUUCUUAAUCCAAUUCACUCUCUUUUUCUAUUCAAAUAUUGUCUAAACUUAUAUUUAACUAUAAAAUUUCCAGCAUAUUUCCCUAAUUUCGAAAUUUCUUCAAUUUAGUCCCUACAACAUAAAACUUAUAGCCUAGUUUACAAUUUAAUCCCUUAAUCAAUUCUAACUUAGAAUUUAUUCAAUUAAAUCCCUAAUUCCAUAAUUUUUCCAACAUGAACCCUACUUGGAAACAUAUGAACUCUUGAACUAUCAACUUAAUUUCAUCAAAAUCUUAUUUCAAAGCUCCUAAAACAUCAAAAUUAAGAGAAAAGGACUUAAUUGACUUACCUUUUAAAGCUUCAAACCUUAAAACCCUAGUUUUUCCUUUCCCUUUUUUUUCUUUCUUUUUAUUUCCCUGUUUCGAAAUGCUUCUGUUCUGUUUCUUCUUCUUUGUUUCUUUUGUCUUUCUUUUUAUUCUUUUAUUAUUUCAUUUAUUUUACUUAUUUAUUUUAUCAUUUAACUAAUAUAUAUUAUUAUUAAUUUAAUAACAAUAUAAUUAACACAUUUGUAUACAUGUAUCUUUGUAUAUUUGUACACUAUUAUUACCAUCCAUUUGUCUUUCUUUUAUUUAUUUAACAAAUAAAAAUCUUAUAAUAUUAAUAUUUAAUUAAUAAAUAUCUUUAACUUAAAAUUUAAGUAAAUACAUAAUUAUAAUACAAAUGUAUAUAUUCAUAUUAUUACAAAUGUCAUUAUUUAAUUUGUUUUUCAUACCAAAAAUCUUAUAAUUUAAUUAUUUAAUUAACAAAUAUCUUUAUACUUAAAUUAUAAGAAAUUAAAUAUUUAAAUUACAAAUGUACCCAUACAAUUCUUACACAUGUAUAUUUUAUUACCAUACAAUUGUCUUCUAUUUAAUUUAUUUAUAAUAUAUUAUCAAUUAAAUAAUCAUAACAAUUUAAUAUAAAACCAUAAUAAUAAUCAUUAUAAUAUAUAAAACCUAAAAAAAAUCUUUGAUUUUAUUUCACCAAUAUGCCACCUCAUUUGUAGUCAAUGGCUUAAUUUCCAUUUUAAUCCUUUUUAUUUUCUAUUGCUUUAUAAUUAAACUUUUACCCUUUAUUCAAUUUAAUCCUUUUUAUUACUUACUCUAAAUUAAGCUAAAUUCACUUAAUUAGAUCCUAAUUAGACACACCACUAGGCUCAUAAAUAUUUUUAAUAAUUAUUUUCGAACUUAUUUCACGAAGACGGAGGCCCUAUAACUCACUUUUCCGGUGCCCGUGAAUUUCAGGUCAUUACAUGUGUGGUCAAUAUCUAAGCUAUUUUCCAAGCCUUGGUCAACCUUAAUCUCUUACACACUUAUACAAAAUCAAAAGCAUAUAACAUAGUAUUCAUUUAAUGAUUAAACAUUCUCAAUUAAACUACAAACAUAGCAUUUGUAUGUCAUCAUACAUGUGUCUCUCAUACUCAUUUUACCUUGUCUAUUGUGGUACCACUUAUAUUUUAUACCAUGAUUAUCAUCUUACCAAAUAUUUUCAACUUAAUCAUCAAGCAUUCAUAUUUAAAACUAGAUCAAAUCUUUAUAAAAUACCACAUUUCAGAUGCGCAGAAUAAAAUACAUGCCUUAGACAUUUCAAUCCAACUUCAUACCCAACAAGCAUCAUAUUGAAACUAGUCAUAUAUAUACAUGUCAUGAUAUGUAUCGUUCUCAUACUGUUUUCUUAUAAACAUAUAUCAUUUAUUUUCCUCCUCCUCCUCUCCAUUCCACAUCCUUAAUGUAUAUAACAUUCUUGUAAGUAAGAUUUCACAAUUUACUUAUUAAUGCUCACAUCAAGCUGUUCACACGAGUCAUAGUCACUCAAUUAUUUAUAAUUCGAGCUACAGAGCUCCAAAUCAAGAUCCGUAAAUUUUCCCUGAAACUAGACUCACAUAUCAUUCCAUCAUAAAAUUUUCAAAAUUUUUAGUUUAGCCAAUUAGUACAGUUUAUUCAUUUAAGUUUCCCCUAUUUCACUAUCUGACAGUUCUGACCUCUCUUCACUAAAAAUUAAUUAUAUCACAGUACAGAACUCGGAUAAUGUUCUCGUUCAUUUCUAUUGAAAAUAGACUCAUUAAGAAUUCUAAGCAUAUAAAUUUGAGCCUAUAAUUAAUUUUCUCCAAUUUUUGACGAUUUUCCAAAGUCAAAACAGGGGAACCCGAAUUCAUUCUGACCUUGUCUCACAAAAUUCAUUAUAUCUCAUAAUUUACAAUUCAAUUGCUUACACGUUUCUUCUAUGAGAAACUAGACUCAAUAAGCUUUAAAUUCAUAUAUUAUUCAUCCUCUAAUUCGAUUUUUAAAAUUUAUGGUGAUUUUUCAAAGUUAACCUACUGCUGCUGUCCAAAGCUAUUUUAGUUCAAGAUGUUUAUUACCAUUUUUCCUCUAAAUUUCACAGGUCAUACAAUUCAGUCCUUGCUCAAUUAGCCCAUCUAUUAAGCUAAUUUAUCUCAAUUAACAUUUUAUUCCAUCAUUCUAAACUAUUACACAACCUUUGAAAAUCAUAAUUUUAACACUAAACCUUAAUUCACAACUUUUUCACAAUUAGGUCCUAAAAUCAAUUUCGAUUGAAUUUACUUGAUAAAAUUAUCAAACAACAAAAUCAAAGCUUAAAAUUCAUUUUAUUUCAUCAUAAACAGCCAACACUUAUCAAUGAUAGCUUUUAAUUUUGUCCAUAAAAUCAAAAACUAAUGAAUUAAACACUUGGACCUAAUUGUAAAAGUCACAAAACAUAAAAAUCUCAAAGAAAAGGGAAAUAAUUGAACUCACAUAUGUCAAAGUAUGAAAAACCAGCAGCUUUCAGACCUCCCAU